AUUGAACGCUGGCGGCAGGCCUAACACAUGCAAGUCGAGCGGUAGAGAGAAGCUUGCUUCUCUUGAGAGCGGCGGACGGGUGAGUAAUGCCUAGGAAUCUGCCUGGUAGUGGGGGAUAACGUUCGGACACGAACGCUAAUACCGCAUACGUCCUACGGGAGAAAGCAGGGGACCUUCGGGCCUUGCGCUAUCAGAUGAGCCUAGGUCGGAUUAGCUAGUUGGUGAGGUAAUGGCUCACCAAGGCGACGAUCCGUAACUGGUCUGAGAGGAUGAUCAGUCACACUGGAACUGAGACACGGUCCAGACUCCUACGGGAGGCAGCAGUGGGGAAUAUUGGACAAUGGGCGAAAGCCUGAUCCAGCCAUGCCGCGUGUGUGAAGAAGGUCUUCGGAUUGUAAAGCACUUUAAGUUGGGAGGAAGAGCAUUAACCUAAUACGUUAGUGUUUUGACGUUACCGACAGAAUAAGCACCGGCUAACUCUGUG
RNAcentral lists this ribosomal RNA (484 nucleotides) under uncultured bacterium. RNAcentral describes it as "partial 16S ribosomal RNA". It matches the Rfam family "Bacterial small subunit ribosomal RNA", at positions 30 to 507 of the family's 1533-position model. The record is from RNAcentral.